ACGGGUGAGUAAUACAUCGGAACGUGCCCAGUAGUGGGGGAUAGCCCGGCGAAAGCCGGAUUAAUACCGCAUACGACCUACGGGUGAAAGCGGGGGAUCGCAAGACCUCGCGCUAUUGGAGCGGCCGAUGUCAGAUUAGCUAGUUGGUGGGGUAAAAGCCUACCAAGGCGACGAUCUGUAGCUGGUCUGAGAGGACGACCAGCCACACUGGGACUGAGACACGGCCCAGACUCCUACGGGAGGCAGCAGUGGGGAAUUUUGGACAAUGGGCGCAAGCCUGAUCCAGCCAUGCCGCGUGUGGGAAGAAGGCCUUCGGGUUGUAAACCACUUUUGUCAGGGAAGAAACGGCUUGAUCUAAUAAAUCGAGCUAAUGACGGUACCUGAAGAAUAAGCACCGGCUAACUACGUGCCAGCAGCCGCGGUAAUACGUAGGGUGCAAGCGUUAAUCGGAAUUACUGGGCGUAAAGCGUGCGCAGGCGGCUAUGCAAGACAGAUGUGAAAUCCCCGGGCUCAACCUGGGAACUGCAUUUGUGACUGCAUGGCUAGAGUACGGUAGAGGGGGAUGGAAUUCCGCGUGUAGCAGU
RNAcentral lists this ribosomal RNA (584 nucleotides) under Rhizobacter sp. RDB-182. RNAcentral describes it as "bacterial SSU rRNA". It matches the Rfam family "Bacterial small subunit ribosomal RNA", at positions 102 to 682 of the family's 1533-position model. Lineage: Bacteria; Pseudomonadati; Pseudomonadota; Betaproteobacteria; Burkholderiales; Sphaerotilaceae. The record is from RNAcentral.